This 253-nucleotide ribosomal RNA is filed under the name uncultured bacterium. RNAcentral describes it as "partial 16S ribosomal RNA". It matches the Rfam family "Bacterial small subunit ribosomal RNA", at positions 524 to 776 of the family's 1533-position model. The record is from RNAcentral.
UACGGAGGGUGCAAGCGUUAAUCGGAAUUACUGGGCGUAAAGGGUGCGUAGGUGGUUGUAUAAGUUAACUGUGAAAUCCCCGGGCUCAACCUGGGCAGGUCAGUUAAGACUGUAUGACUCGAGUAUGGGAGAGGGUAGUGGAAUUUCCGGUGUAGCGGUGAAAUGCGUAGAGAUCGGAAGGAACACCAGUGGCGAAGGCGGCUACCUGGCCUAAUACUGACACUGAGGCACGAAAGCGUGGGGAGCAAACAGG